GAUGAACGCUGGCGGCGUGCCUAAUACAUGCAAGUCGAGCGAACGGACGAGAAGCUUGCUUCUCUGAUGUUAGCGGCGGACGGGUGAGUAACACGUGGAUAACCUACCUAUAAGACUGGGAUAACUUCGGGAAACCGGAGCUAAUACCGGAUAAUAUUUUGAACCGCAUGGUUCAAAAGUGAAAGACGGUCUUGCUGUCACUUAUAGAUGGAUCCGCGCUGCAUUAGCUAGUUGGUAAGGUAACGGCUUACCAAGGCAACGAUGCAUAGCCGACCUGAGAGCGUGAUCGGACACACUGGAACUGAGACACGGUCCAGACUCCUACGGGAGGCAGCAGUAGGGAAUCUUCCGCAAUGGGCGAAAGCCUGACGGAGCAACGCCGCGUGAGUGAUGAAGGUCUUCGGAUCGUAAAACUCUGUUAUUAGGGAAGAACAUAUGUGUAAGUACCUGUGCACAUCUUGACGGUACCUAAUCAGAAAGCCACGGCUAACUACGUG
Molecule: ribosomal RNA, 497 nt
Filed under: uncultured bacterium
Lineage: Bacteria
Description: partial 16S ribosomal RNA
Rfam family: Bacterial small subunit ribosomal RNA
Source: RNAcentral